This 497-nucleotide ribosomal RNA is filed under the name uncultured bacterium. Its description in RNAcentral is "partial 16S ribosomal RNA". It matches the Rfam family "Bacterial small subunit ribosomal RNA", at positions 29 to 507 of the family's 1533-position model. The record is from RNAcentral.
AAUGAACGCUGGCGGCGUGCCUAAUACAUGCAAGUCGAGCGAACGGACGAGAAGCUUGCUUCUCUGAUGUUAGCGGCGGACGGGUGAGUAACACGUGGAUAACCUACCUAUAAGACUGGGAUAACUUCGGGAAACCGGAGCUAACACCGGAUAAUAUUUUGAACCGCAUGGUUCAAAAGUGAAAGACGGUCUUGCUGUCACUUAUAGAUGGAUCCGCGCUGCAUUAGCUAGUUGGUAAGGUAACGGCUUACCAAGGCAACGAUGCAUAGCCGACCUGAGAGGGUGAUAGGCCACACUGGAACUGAGACACGGUCCAGACGCCUACGGGAGGCAGCAGUAGGGAAUCUUCCGCAAUGGGCGAAAGCCUGACGGAGCAACGCCGCGUGAGUGAUGAAGGUCUUCGGAUCGUAAAACUCUGUUAUUAGGGAAGAACAUAUGUGUAAGUAACUGUGCACAUCUUGACGGUACCUAAUCAGAAAGCCACGGCUAACUACGUG